UUCCAGACUCCUACGGGAGGCAGCAGUGAGGAAUAUUGGUCAAUGGUCGUAAGGCUGAACCAGCCAAGUCGCGUGAGGGAAGACGGCCCUACGGGUUGUAAACCUCUUUUGUCGGGGAGCAAAGCGAACCACGUGUGGUCCAUUGAGAGUACCCGAAGAAAAAGCAUCGGCUAACUCCGUGCCAGCAGCCGCGGUAAUACGGAGGAUGCGAGCGUUAUCCGGAUUUAUUGGGUUUAAAGGGUGCGUAGGCGGAAGGCCAAGUCAGCGGUAAAAUCGCGGGGCUCAACCUCGCUCCGCCGUUGAAACUGGCGUUCUUGAGUGGGCGAGAAGUAUGCGGAAUGCGUGGUGUAGCGGUGAAAUGCAUAGAUAUCACGCAGAACUCCGAUUGCGAAGGCAGCAUACCGGCGCCUAACUGACGCUGAAGCACGAAAGCGUGGGUAUCGAACAGGAUUAGAUACCCUCGUAG
RNAcentral lists this ribosomal RNA (466 nucleotides) under uncultured bacterium. RNAcentral's name for it is "bacterial SSU rRNA". It matches the Rfam family "Bacterial small subunit ribosomal RNA", at positions 329 to 793 of the family's 1533-position model. The record is from RNAcentral.